RNAcentral lists this ribosomal RNA (92 nucleotides) under Enterobacter cloacae complex sp. 2DZ2F20B. The record is from RNAcentral. Lineage: Bacteria; Pseudomonadati; Pseudomonadota; Gammaproteobacteria; Enterobacterales; Enterobacteriaceae.
GUGCGGUGGUCCCACCUGACCCCAUGCCGAACUCAGAAGUGAAACGCCGUAGCGCCGAUGGUAGUGUGGGGUCUCCCCAUGUGAGAGUAGGG